GACGAACGCUGGCGGCGUGCUUAACACAUGCAAGUCGAACGGAAAGGCCCUGCUUUUGUGGGGUGCUCGAGUGGCGAACGGGUGAGUAACACGUGAGUAACCUGCCCUUGACUUUGGGAUAACUUCAGGAAACUGGGGCUAAUACCGGAUAGGAGCUCCUGCUGCAUGGUGGGGGUUGGAAAGUUUCGGCGGUUGGGGUUGGACUCGCGGCUUAUCAGCUUGUUGGUGGGGUAGUGGCUUACCAAGGCUUUGACGGGUAGCCGGCCUGAGAGGGUGACCGGCCACAUUGGGACUGGGAUACGGCCCAGACUCCUACGGGAGGCAGCAGUGGGGAAUAUUGCACAAUGGGCGGAAGCCUGAUGCAGCAACGCCGCGUGCGGGAUGACGGCCUUCGGGUUGUAAACCGCUUUCGCCUGUGACGAAGCGUGAGUGACGGUAAUGGGUAAAGAAGCACCGGCUAACUACGUG
Molecule: ribosomal RNA, 468 nt
Filed under: uncultured bacterium
Lineage: Bacteria
Description: partial 16S ribosomal RNA
Rfam family: Bacterial small subunit ribosomal RNA
Source: RNAcentral